UACGGAGGGUGCAAGCAUUAAUCGGAUUUAUUGGGCGUAAAGGGCGCGUAGGCGGAAAUAUAAGUCAGGUGUGAAAUCCCGGGGCUCAACCCCGGAACAGCAUUUGAAACUGUAUAUCUAGAGGGUAGGCGGAGAAAACGGAAUUCCACAAGUAGCGGUGAAAUGCGUAGAUAUGUGGAAGAACACCGGUGGCGAAGGCGGUUUUCUAGCUUAUUCCUGACGCUAAUGCGCGAAAGCAAGGGGAUCAAACAGG
RNAcentral lists this ribosomal RNA (253 nucleotides) under uncultured bacterium. RNAcentral describes it as "partial 16S ribosomal RNA". It matches the Rfam family "Bacterial small subunit ribosomal RNA", at positions 524 to 776 of the family's 1533-position model. The record is from RNAcentral.